GGGCUCGCUUCAGCAGAACAUACACUAAAAUUGGAAUGAUACAAAAAAGAUUAGCAUGGCCCCUGUGCAAUGAUGACAAGCAAAUUCAUGAAAAAUUCUGUAUUUAA
Small nuclear RNA from Myotis lucifugus (little brown bat), 107 nucleotides. Lineage: Eukaryota; Metazoa; Chordata; Mammalia; Chiroptera; Vespertilionidae. The record is from Ensembl.